This 256-nucleotide long non-coding RNA is filed under the name Prunus dulcis (almond). Its description in RNAcentral is "sRNA ncRNA". Lineage: Eukaryota; Viridiplantae; Streptophyta; Magnoliopsida; Rosales; Rosaceae. The record is from RNAcentral.
CUCUGAUUUCAUGUUCUCUUUCUUUCCCCUUCUUCAAUUUCACGUCAAUUUCGUCAAUUUCACGCUCAAUUCCUUUCCUGUUUGUUGAAUCAAUUUCUUCGAUUUCAUGCUCAAUUUCUUUCUCAAUUUCACGUCUUCUUCUUCGAUUCCAAAACUCUCAUCUUUCUUCUUUGAUUGUUAGACAAAUUCAUCUUCUAAGGUUUCUUUGACAUUCUAUUUUUCUGCAUCAAUGGCGGCUUCAUCUCUCAAAAUUGAA